UCCGAGUUGUCCCCGGCAGUCCCCUUAGAGUCCCCGGCAUUACCCGCUGGCAACUAAGGGCAGGGGUUGCGCUCGUUGCGGCACUUAAGCCAACACCUCACGGCACGAGCUGACGACAGCCAUGCAGCAUCUGUGGUGCACCCUCGAAGGUCACACGUUUCCGUGCGCUUGCAGCACCAUGUCAAGCCUAGGUAAGGUUCUUCGCGUUGCAUCGAAUUAAGCCACAUGCUCCGCCGCUUGUGCGGGCCCCCGUCAAUUCUUUUGAGUUUUAGCCUUGCGGCCGUACUCCCCAGGCGGCGAACUUAACGCGUUAGCUUCGAUACUGCGUGCCAAAUUGCACCCAACAUCCAGUUCGCAUCGUUUAGGGCGUGGACUAC
Molecule: unclassified non-coding RNA, 377 nt
Filed under: uncultured bacterium
Lineage: Bacteria
Description: contains 16S-23S intergenic spacer region
Source: RNAcentral